UUGGAGGGCAAGUCUGGUGCCAGCAGCCGCGGUAAUUCCAGCUCCAAUAGCGUAUAUUAAAGUUGUUGCAGUUAAAAAGCUCGUAGUUGAAUUUCGGGGUUAGUAGGUUGGUCGUGCCUCAGGUAUGUACUGAUCUCACUGAUUCCUCCUUCCUGAUGAACCGUAAUGCCAUUAAUUUGGUGUUACGGGGAAAUCUGGACUGUUACUUUGAAAAAAUUAGAGUGUUUAAAGCAGGCUAACGCUUGAAUACAUUAGCAUGGAAUAAUGAAAUAGGACGUUCGAUCCUAUUUUGUUGGUUUCUAGGAUUGAUGUAAUGAUUAAUAGGGAUAGUUGGGGGCAUUAGUAUUCAAUUGUCAGAGGUGAAAUUCUUGGAUUUAUUGAAGACUAACUACUGCGAAAGCAUUUGCCAAGGAUGUUUUCAUUAAUCAAGAAUGAAAGUUAGGGGAUCGAAGACGAUCAGAUACCGUCGUAGUCUUAACCAUAAACUAUGCCGACUAGGGAUCGGAUGAUGUUAAUUUUUUAAUGACUCAUUCGGCGCCUUACGGGAAAC
RNAcentral lists this ribosomal RNA (550 nucleotides) under uncultured Glomus. Its description in RNAcentral is "SSU rRNA". It matches the Rfam family "Eukaryotic small subunit ribosomal RNA", at positions 548 to 1098 of the family's 1831-position model. Lineage: Eukaryota; Fungi; Glomeromycota; Glomeromycetes; Glomerales; Glomeraceae. The record is from RNAcentral.